Etheostoma cragini (Arkansas darter) is the source of this 220-nucleotide long non-coding RNA. RefSeq lists it as uncharacterized. The transcript has 4 exons. NCBI's taxonomy places the organism in Eukaryota, Metazoa, Chordata, Actinopteri, Perciformes, Percidae. The record is from RefSeq and is a predicted model, not a curated record.
GAUGGCGCAGUGGACAUGACACAUGCUUUUGGUGUGGGAGAUCUGGGUUCAAUUCCCACUGCGAUACAUUAAUCAAUGUGUCCCUGAGCAAGGCAUUUAACCCAUAGUUGCUCCAGAGUUGUGUGACCUCUGAUACAUAGCAAAUUUGUAAGUCGCUUUGGAUAGAAGCGUCAGCUAAAUGACGUGUAAUGUAACUCCAUCAUACAAACUUUACAUUAUA